Molecule: non-coding RNA, 948 nt
Filed under: Nandus nandus
Lineage: Eukaryota; Metazoa; Chordata; Actinopteri; Anabantiformes; Nandidae
Description: 12S ribosomal RNA
Rfam family: Bacterial small subunit ribosomal RNA
Source: RNAcentral
CAAAAGCUUGGUCCUGGCUUUGACCUCAGCUCUAGCCAAAUUUACACAUGCAAGUAUCCGCAUCCCCGUGAGAAUGCCCAACAGUUCCCCGCCCCGGGAACAAGGAGCUGGUAUCAGGCACAUCCUUAUUAGCCCACGACACCUUGCUUAGCCACACCCCCAAGGGAAACCAGCAGUGAUAAACAUUAAGCUAUAAGUGAAAACUUGACUUAGUUAAAGCUAAGAGGGCCGGUAAAACUCGUGCCAGCCACCGCGGUUAUACGAGAGGCCCAAGUUGAGGAACAACGGCGUAAAGAGUGGUUAAAAUAAAUCUCAAACUAAGGUUGAAUAUUUUCAGGGCUGUUAUACGCAACCGAAAACAAGAAACCCAACUACGAAAGUGACCUUACCACAAAUGAACCCACGAAAGCUAGGACACAAACUGGGAUUAGAUACCCCACUAUGCCUAGCCAUAAACAUUGAUAGUACACCACAUAAACUAUCCGCCCGGGCACUACGAGCGCUAGCUUAAAACCCAAAGGACUUGGCGGUGCUUAAGAUCCACCUAGAGGAGCCUGUUCUAAAACCGAUAACCCCCGUUAAACCUCACCCCCUCUUGUUAUCCCAGCCUAUAUACCGCCGUCGUCAGCUUACCCUGUGAGGGUCUAAAAGUAAGCAGAAUUAGCAUAGCCCAAAACGUCAGGUCGAGGUGUAGCGCAUGAGGGGGGAAGAAAUGGGCUACAUUCCCUAAUAUAGGGAAUACGAAAGACAAAUUGAAAUAUUUACCAGAAGGAGGAUUUAGCAGUAAGCAGAGAACAGAGUGCUCCGCUGAAAUCGGCUCUAAGGCGCGCACACACCGCCCGUCACUCUCCCCGAAAAACAUUAAUCAACUUAACUAAAACCUAAGACACAUAGAGGGGAGGCAAGUCGUAACAUGGUAAGUGUACCGGAAGGUGCACUUGGAAAAAA